UUUUUUUUUUUUAAUAUUGUAUCCUGUUUUAACAAUGCAAUGUUUUGUGAACUCAGGACAUACUUAAAACAAGAGAAAUCUAAAUGUAUCCUUCCUGGUAAAAAAAUUUAUAAAUAAAUUAAUAAAUAAUUCACCCAGCCACAUGCACUGUCACAAACCCAAUCACAUUCACCCAUCCACACUACCCACCCAAUCACAUUCACGCAGCCACACGCACUAUCACAUACAGCUACCCACCCAAUCACAUUCACGCAGCCACACGCACUGUCACAUACAGCUACCCACCUAAUCACAUUCACCAUACUCUCUAAAAGGAGUGAGGCAUAUAAAACAAGUUUCUUUUUAAUUUAGUAAUAUUUUUCAUGAUAUUCAGAGAGGUCAGAUACUAGAAUUAAAGGAUCACUAUAGGAUCAGGAACACAAACAUGUAUUCCUGACCCUAUAGUGUUAAACCCACCAUCUAGCCCCCCAGUGUCCCUCAUGCCUCCAUAAAUAUAGUAAAAAAUCUUACUGUAUUCAUGCUUGAAGCUGUAACUCUGCAUGCUGUUAGACUCAGAAAACAAGCAGUCUGCUGACAUCACUGAAGUGGUAGCCUGAUCCACUCACAGUGCUUCCCCAUAGGAUUGGCUGAGACUGACAAGGAGGCAGAUCAGGGGCAGAGCCAGCAUGAUUCAAACACAGCCCUGGCCAAUCAGCAUCUCCUCAUAGAGAUGAAUUGAAUCAAUGAAUCUCUAUGAGGAAAGUUCAGUGUCUGCAUGCAAAGGGAGGAAAUACUGAAUGUUUGGAUGCAUUUUAGGCAGCCAUGACCCAGGAAGGAUCUCUUAACAGCCAUCUGAGGAGUGGCCAGUGAAGUUAUCACUAGGCUGUAAUGUAAACACUGCAUUUUCUCUGAAAAGACAGUGUUUACAGCAAAAAGCCUGAAGGCAAUGAUCCUACACACCAGAACAAAUUCAAUAAGCUGUAGUUGUUCUGGUGACUAUAGUGUCCCUUUAACAACAAGGAAAAGUGGUAUAAUAUUUCCAAAUUGGGAGCAUUCAACAUAAUCUGGUCUGACCGGUUUCAUUAAAGGACUGGAAUACUCUAAUUGUGUCCAUAAUUGCUCUAAUAUAUUUUUAUUUUUUAUAUAUAUAUUGAAUGCGUGAAUCUAGGGUGUUAAAAAUAAAUUGUAAAAUAAUGCACUGAUGUAUACCAAAAG
Molecule: non-coding RNA, 1194 nt
Organism: Pelobates cultripes (western spadefoot toad)
Lineage: Eukaryota; Metazoa; Chordata; Amphibia; Anura; Pelobatidae
Source: the annotation of a GenBank genome assembly